This 486-nucleotide ribosomal RNA is filed under the name uncultured bacterium. RNAcentral describes it as "partial 16S ribosomal RNA". It matches the Rfam family "Bacterial small subunit ribosomal RNA", at positions 29 to 507 of the family's 1533-position model. The record is from RNAcentral.
AUUGAACGCUGGCGGCAUGCCUUACACAUGCAAGUCGAACGGCAGCACGGGUGCUUGCACCUGGUGGCGAGUGGCGAACGGGUGAGUAAUACAUCGGAACAUGUCCUGGAGGGGGGGAUAGCCCGGCGAAAGCCGGAUUAAUACCGCAUACGAUCUACGGAUGAAAGCGGGGGACCUUCGGGCCUCGCGCUAUAGGGUUGGCCGAUGGCUGAUUAGCUAGUUGGUGGGGUAAAGGCCUACCAAGGCGACGAUCAGUAGCUGGUCUGAGAGGACGACCAGCCACACUGGGACUGAGACACGGCCCAGACUCCUACGGGAGGCAGCAGUGGGGAAUUUUGGACAAUGGGCGAAAGCCUGAUCCAGCAAUGCCGCGUGUGUGAAGAAGGCCUUCGGGUUGUAAAGCACUUUUGUCCGGAAAGAAAUCCUUGGCCCUAAUACGGUCGGGGGAUGACGGUACCGGAAGAAUAAGCACCGGCUAACUACGUG